GAAGUUCAGCAUGGUUAGCCAUCAGUUGAGCAUUGAUCUCGGCUUGUGUUGGUGCUCCGUUUAGAUCUCCCAUGUCGCCUGCGACAAAAGAGGAAGAAAGAAAAGUGAUCUGCAAGGGAUCAAAGAAAAAGGAGGAAGAUACCUAAAUAGGUAUGCAAUUGAAUGUUAAACUUCCUUUUUUUUUUUUUUUAAAGUUUUCGAAAAUUAAAAUAUGGAAAGUAUAAUCUUCCCUUUUUUUUUUUUUUUUUUUUAAAUUUGGAAAAACUUGGAGUGCAAUCCAAGGAAAUAUUAAAUGCAAUUAAAUAGAAAUCCGAA
RNAcentral lists this long non-coding RNA (315 nucleotides) under Brassica rapa (field mustard). RNAcentral describes it as "long non-coding RNA (BRAP_LNC008465)". Lineage: Eukaryota; Viridiplantae; Streptophyta; Magnoliopsida; Brassicales; Brassicaceae. The record is from RNAcentral.